GAAUUUUGGACAAAGGGCGAAAGCCCCAUCCAGCAAUGCCGCGUGCAGGAUGAAGGCCCUCGCGGUUUAAACUGCUUUUGUACGGACAGCAAAGCCUUGGGCUGAUACCCUGGAGUCAGGACGGUACCGUAAGGUUAAGCACGCGCCAACCACGUUCAAGCUGCCACGGGAAUACGUAGGGUGCAAGCGUCAAUCGGAAUUACUGGGCGUCUAGAGUGCGCAGGCGGUUUUGUAAGACAGUGGUGAGAUCCCCGGGCUCAACCUGGGAACUGCCUUUGUGACUGCAAGGCUAGAGUACGGCAGAGGGGGGUGGAAGUCCGCGUGUAGCAGUGAAAUGCGUAGAUAUGCGGAGGAACACCGAUGGCGAAGGCAGCCCCCUGGGCCUGUACUGACGCUCAUGCACGAAAGCGUGGGGAGCAAACA
Molecule: ribosomal RNA, 423 nt
Filed under: uncultured bacterium
Lineage: Bacteria
Description: partial 16S ribosomal RNA
Rfam family: Bacterial small subunit ribosomal RNA
Source: RNAcentral